CUUUAAUAACAAGUGAAAAGAGCUUGUAUUUGCCAAAAUGAACACAGGAUAUGAUUCUUUUUUUGCUUUUGCUUUGGAGUUGUAUCAGCUCUGUGCGGUCACAUGGGUAUCUACAAAUCAAAGCACCCAUCAACCAGAUGCAUCUCUGAGAGUUAACAGCAGAAGGUGGCAUAAUAAAAGAAGUUCUCGGUAGUGAAAAAGGUUGGAAACCACCAGCUAAACCAAUCCUCUUGUACCAAUAGGAGAUUCAAGUUGAGAGGUGGGAAAGGGCCUAUCUCAGAGUAGGUGCUUGAAUACUUCUUACUAGAAUGAAAGAAGGAACUUAAGAUCACACAGCCAUGUUACUGCAGGACGGGGAAUGGAACCUAGGUCUUCUUAUUUUUGGUUCAGUGUUAACUCCCAUUCUCUAAGCAGACUGGGCCUGUUAUUCAAACUGCCUUCCCAUAGGUGCUUCCCUGCUUCUCUCCUCACCCAGAGAAGGACUUACAAACAGCUUAUCUUCAGAGGUUUUGUGCCUGAUAGUUAUGGAAUGUGCUGGUUUGAGCAGGGAGGAUGUAAGGGGAGGGAAUGCUAAAAGCCUGUCUACUUAGAGUCAGGUUUCCUGGGUAAGUCCCUGGAACCCCAUCCCCUUCCCCUUUCUUGAGACCCCAGGACUUGCUCCAGUAACUGCCACCCUGUGCCUUUGCUUCAGGGCCAUGCUGGAUAAGGAGCUGGCUGCCUCUGUGAACAUCCUACUCAAGGCAUCUUCACUGCUGUACAUCCUUUUGAAAUCCCAGAGAUCUUCAGUCUCCCUGUGGAUUAAGGAGAUGUGCAGUAUUUAAAGUGGCUUCAGGAAGGCAUGGAAGAGGACUGAGUGGGGAAAGCUUUUUGUGCAUGCUGCUGGCUACCUCCAGCGGCUGCCUCCAGCCUCCAUCAGCUGCACUCUGGGGAAGAGGAGGCUGCCUUCUACCUCCCAGCAUCUCUGGAUUUCAUGUUCCUGUCAGCACAGAGGAGCUAAAUGGCCUGUAGAGGCUGAAGGUCUGAGGCUCCUAAAGCUGGAAGAAAAGGCUGGGCCAGUCAGGCCAAGCAAGAACACAGUGUAACUUGUCUCUGAGUGCUUCAUGGUUAAGGGGGCUAAGCAGGCACAAGGGCAUGAGGAUGGUUAUAUGUACAGACUGAGGGGAAGAAGCAGUGAAGAUGAGACUUGCCAUCUUCUUGAGUCAGUAGGCCUGCCUCAGGUGCCUAGGAUGUAAUUGCUCUGCUGCUUCUCAUGGGGAGGAGUGGCCCUCAUGACCUUGUUUACCUGGAAGAGUGUGGGAUGAAUGCCUCCUCCUAUGGGGACUCGCAAGUGCUUUAGCAAAAGGAUAAAUUGCUAAUUGUGGCAUUUCGUGGAUCAGCAGGAUUAUUUCUCCUUGCUAAAGAGGAUUUUGUUGGUCCUGAAUUCUGAGGAGGUGGGACUAGGAAUGGGCUCCAUGAGCCUGUGUAUGACUCAGGGAAUAUUAGGACUUUGGCACAGCCUCAUGGGUUGGGAGUAAGUCUUGGCUCUUCCCUAGCCUGAAUGACAGACAUCAGAUCAUUCUGGUGCUUUGUCCAUGAAGAUGUAGAUUCUGAGCCCACCCAACUAAUCUUUUCACUUGAGCACAGAAACAGCCCCGGGAAUCGGACAGACCCGUGUCUUUCAGGUUUGCUUCACAGAGCCCCAGGGGUUGACAAUAGGUGCCUUGGAGACUGCCUGCAUGGGGAUUUUUAAAAAGCUUUCUUUGUUAAAGGUUUGUAAACCACUCCUCUGAGCCUGUUUUCAUUUUAUAGAUUAUUCAGGGAACUGAACUGCACAGAGAUCCAGAAAGUGGGUAGUGCAGGCUGUAGUGCUGAUAACUACUGUACUACUUGGAUCUUUGUGCUCCCAAAUACCAAAUGGAAGAGGAUCUCUGAGAGUCCUUUGCAAAGAUCUUGUAGGGACUUUAGGCUGGGGCCUUCGGAAAAUUCCAGAGGAUUCCAAUGGAGAUUUUGAGGGACUGACUCAGAAGAACAAAGAGAAUGAUAAUGGUGAUGUCCCUGCUUUUUACAACAGAUCAUGUUCUGAUAUAUAUGCAAAUCUGUGUAAAGUAAACCCUACCUAAAAUGUACUGGGGACCCAAGAUGGACUGCCUGUAUUGCUUCCAGGAUAAAGUCCAAUUUCUAGCUCUGGUUUUUAUAACCUUGCUUCAGCUCACCUUUUCCGUCAUCAUCCCCUCCAUCUCCUCUCCCACGCUGGGAAAUGGAUGGCUGCACUAUACUGUGUGAUGUUAUUGCUAUGUUCAUGCCAUCCCCUCUGCCUGGAAUGCCCUUCUGCAUGAAUGCCUGUGAAAUGUUGUUGCUCCUUUGUAUGGCCUGGCUUCCGUGGUUGGCAGGAAUCUCUUCUUUCGUGGUAUUCCUGUCAUCUUUGUGCAUCACAGUCAGCUUUGUAUUCCUAGCUUGUAAGCUACUUGAGGAUAGGGGCAUGUCUGAAUCUAUUUAAUCUCUUGCACCUGUUUGGCAAAUUGAUGUUUUAAGUAUUUAAAUAACUAAAGCUCUCUCUACAGUACAUACUCACUUUUGAUUUAUGAAUUGGCAAAAUUCAACUUUUUUCCUUGAAUAUUCUUAAAGUGAGAUGAAUUCCAAAGGAGAGUGUUCUGUGUGUGGCCUUCAUUGAGUGGUUUUCUGUUACCAGAAAGCUCUUGGUGGCCUUCCUCUUCCCUGGUGUCAAGGUUGACUGUUAUAGGAAAUGGGAGGGGAGAGGGCCGUUUCUGCCACGCAUUGUCCUAGGUUCUUAACAUUAUUUAAUCCUUAUAAUGCAAUGUUAUCCUCAUUUUACAGAUGAAACCUGAGACCAAAGAACAUGUAACACAUAAAGUACAUUGCAGAGUUAGGAUGUGAACCCAACUCUGAUUCUAAACCUAAUGCUCUCACUCUUUCAUUCAGAGGUUCAGUCAGUUCUUUGUAGGCUGUAGAUCCAGAGAAGCUGCCGUAGCCAACAAUGAAGUUGUUAGUUUUUAAAACAUCUAUGUGGUAAGUUGGUCUGGCACUUAAAAAUGUAUUGUUUCCCAGGCACGGUGGUUCACACCUGUAAUCCCAGCAUUUUGGGAGGCCGAGGCAGGCGGAUCAUUAGGUCAAAAGAUUGAGACCAUCCUGACCAACAUGGUGAAACCCCGUCUCUACUAAAAGUACAAAAAUU
Molecule: long non-coding RNA, 3172 nt
Filed under: Homo sapiens (human)
Lineage: Eukaryota; Metazoa; Chordata; Mammalia; Primates; Hominidae
Description: non-protein coding lnc-B3GNT10-21:28
Source: RNAcentral